RNAcentral lists this ribosomal RNA (253 nucleotides) under uncultured bacterium. RNAcentral describes it as "partial 16S ribosomal RNA". It matches the Rfam family "Bacterial small subunit ribosomal RNA", at positions 524 to 776 of the family's 1533-position model. The record is from RNAcentral.
UACGUAGGCAGCGAGCGUUGUUCGGAGUUACUGGGCGUAAAGGGCGCGUAGGCGGCCUGUUAAGUCGAACGUGAAAUCCCCGGGCUCAACCCGGGAACUGCGUCCGAUACUGGCAGGCUUGAAUCCGGGAGAGGGAUGCGGAAUUCCAGGUGUAGCGGUGAAAUGCGUAGAUAUCUGGAGGAACACCGGUGGCGAAGGCGGCAUCCUGGACCGGCAUUGACGCUGAGGCGCGAAAGCCAGGGGAGCAAACGGG